CAGCAGCCGCGGGAAUACGUAGGGUGCGAGCGUUAAUCGGAAUUACUGGGCGUAAAGCGUGCGCAGGCGGUUGUGUAAGACAGGUGUGAAAUCCCCGGGCUUAACCUGGGAACUGCGCUUGUGACUGCACAGCUAGAGUGUGGCAGAGGGGGGUGGAAUUCCACGUGUAGCAGUGAAAUGCGUAGAGAUGUGGAGGAACACCGAUGGCGAAGGCAGCCCCCUGGGCCAAUACUGACGCUCAUGCACGAAAGCGUGGGGAGCAAACAGGAUUAGAUACCCCAGUAGUCCCUGUCUCUUAUAC
RNAcentral lists this ribosomal RNA (301 nucleotides) under uncultured bacterium. Its description in RNAcentral is "partial 16S ribosomal RNA". It matches the Rfam family "Bacterial small subunit ribosomal RNA", at positions 509 to 807 of the family's 1533-position model. The record is from RNAcentral.